This 318-nucleotide unclassified non-coding RNA is filed under the name Hevea brasiliensis (rubber tree). The record is from RNAcentral. Lineage: Eukaryota; Viridiplantae; Streptophyta; Magnoliopsida; Malpighiales; Euphorbiaceae.
AAAUAUGUUUGGCGUACAAAUUAACUUCUCGCGAAGUAGUUUGCUUUAAAGAACAAAUUAUGUAAAUUAUUGUCCUUGCACAAGGUAAGUUCUUUCCGGUUGGCAUGUUGUAAUUUUCCCAAGCAAAGCGCCACAGAGACUUUAGAAAAUCUUCUCCCUAUCACCUCCACAGAUUUAGCAAAGAGCCAUGCGUUUAGAAAAGAGGAAAUUAGCAAGCAGCUUUUCGUUUUGUGCAUUGCCAGUAAUAGAUGGAGACUGUCAGCAAAACUGAUUUUAUAGCAAGAGUUAUAAACCGUUGCCUUUUCAAGAUAAUGCCAA